This 918-nucleotide ribosomal RNA is filed under the name uncultured bacterium. RNAcentral describes it as "bacterial SSU rRNA". It matches the Rfam family "Bacterial small subunit ribosomal RNA", at positions 9 to 917 of the family's 1533-position model. The record is from RNAcentral. RNAcentral also lists the same sequence under 1 other name.
UGCUUUGAUCCUGGCUCAGGAUGAACGCUAGCUACGGGCUUAACACAUGCAAGUCGAGGGGAAACGAUAGAGAAAGCUUGCUUUUUCUAGGCGUCGACCGGCGCACGGGUGAGUAACGCGUAUCCAACCUGCCCAUCACUUGGGGAUAACCUUGCGAAAGUAAGACUAAUACCCAAUGAUAUCUCUAGAAGACAUCUGAAGGAGAUUAAAGAUUUAUCGGUGAUGGAUGGGGAUGCGUCUGAUUAGCUUGUUGGCGGGGUAACGGCCCACCAAGGCGAUGAUCAGUAGGGGUUCUGAGAGGAAGGUCCCCCACAUUGGAACUGAGACACGGUCCAAACUCCUACGGGAGGCAGCAGUGAGGAAUAUUGGUCAAUGGGCGAGAGCUUGAACCAGCCAAGUAGCGUGCAGGAUGACGGCCCUAUGGGUUGUAAACUGCUUUUAUAAGGGAAUAAAGUGAGCCUCGUGAGGCUUUUUGCAUGUACCUUAUGAAUAAGGACCGGCUAAUUCCGUGCCAGCAGCCGCGGUAAUACGGAAGGUCCGGGCGUUAUCCGGAUUUAUUGGGUUUAAAGGGAGCGUAGGCCGGAGAUUAAGCGUGUUGUGAAAUGUAGAUGCUCAACAUCUGCACUGCAGCGCGAACUGGUUUCCUUGAGUACGCACAAAGUGGGCGGAAUUCGUGGUGUAGCGGUGAAAUGCUUAGAUAUCACGAAGAACUCCGAUUGCGAAGGCAGCUCACUGGAGCGCAACUGACGCUGAAGCUCGAAAGUGCGGGUAUCGAACAGGAUUAGAUACCCUGGUAGUCCGCACGGUAAACGAUGGAUGCCCGCUGUUGGUCUGAAUAGGUCAGCGGCCAAGCGAAAGCAUUAAGCAUCCCACCUGGGGAGUACGCCGGCAACGGUGCAACUCAAAGGAAUUGACGGA